GCGACGAUCAGUAGCUGGUCUGAGAGGAUGAUCAGCCACACUGGGACUGAGACACGGGCCAGACUCCUACGGGAGGCAGCAGUGGGGAAUUUUCCGCAAUGGGCGCAAGCCUGACGGAGCAAGACCGCGUGAGGGAAGAAGGUCUGUGGAUUGUAAACCUCUUUUGAUAGGGAAGAAGACAGUGACGGUACCUAUCGAAUCAGCCUCGGCUAACUCCGUGCCAGCAGCCGCGGUAAUACGGAGGAGGCAAGCGUUAUCCGGAAUUAUUGGGCGUAAAGAGUCCGUAGGUGGGUAACCAAGUCAGCUGUUAAAUAGUGAAGCUUAACUUCAUAGAGGCGGCUGAAACUGGUUGUCUAGAGUGUGGUAGGGGUAGAGGGAAUUUCCAGUGUAGCGGUGAAAUGCGUAGAUA
Molecule: ribosomal RNA, 409 nt
Filed under: uncultured cyanobacterium
Lineage: Bacteria; Bacillati; Cyanobacteriota
Description: bacterial SSU rRNA
Rfam family: Bacterial small subunit ribosomal RNA
Source: RNAcentral